RNAcentral lists this ribosomal RNA (402 nucleotides) under uncultured bacterium. RNAcentral describes it as "partial 16S ribosomal RNA". It matches the Rfam family "Bacterial small subunit ribosomal RNA", at positions 355 to 751 of the family's 1533-position model. The record is from RNAcentral.
UGGGGAAUUUUGGACAAUGGGGGCAACCUGAUCCAGCAAUGCCGCGUGUGUGAAGAAGGCCUUCGGGUUGUAAAGCACUUUUGUCCGGAAAGAAAACGCCGUGGUUAAUACCCGUGGCGGAUGACGGUACCGGAAGAAUAAGCACCGGCUAACUACGUGCCAGCAGCCGCGGUAAUACGUAGGGUGCAAGCGUUAAUCGGAAUUACUGGGCGUAAAGCGUGCGCAGGCGGUCCGCUAAGACAGAUGUGAAAUCCCCGGGCUUAACCUGGGAACUGCAUUUGUGACUGGCGGGCUAGAGUAUGGCAGAGGGGGUAGAAUUCCACGUGUAGCAGUGAAAUGCGUAGAGAUGUGGAGGAAUACCGAUGGCGAAGGCAGCCCCCUGGGCCAAUACUGACGCUCAUG